GACGAACGCUGGCUGCGUGCUUAACACAUGCAAGUCGAACGAAAAUACCAAGCUUGCUUGGUUGAUUUUGGGCGAACGGGUGAGUAACACGUGAGUAACCUGCCCCUUACUUUCCUGGAUAGCUGCACAAAAGGGUAGCUAAUACAGGAUAUUCUGACCGGCCUGCAUGAGUUGGUUUGGAAAGGUUGUUUUUUCUGGUGAGGGAUGAUGGGGAUGCGUCUGAUUAGCUUGUUGGCGGUGAAACGGCCCACCAAGGCUACGAUCAGUACGGGUUCUGAGAGGAAAGUCCCCCACUGUGAAUCUGAUACACCCCCCACACUCCUACGGGAGGCCGCAGUGAAGAAUAUUGCUCAAUGGACGGAACUCUGAACCAGCCACCUCGCGUGCAGGAUGACCGUCCUAUGGGUUGUCCUCUGCUUUCGUAUGGCGACGAACUUCGGGACGUGUCCCUAUUUGCAGGUACCAUACGAAUAACGACCGGCUAAUUCCGUGCCAGCAGCCGCGGUAAUACGGAAGGUCCAGGCGUUAUCCGGAUUUAUUGGGUUUAAACGCAGCGUAGGCUGGACAUUAAGUGUGUUGUGAAAUGUAGACGCUCACGUCUGUAUUGCAGCGCAUACUGGUUUCCUUGUGUACGCACAACGUUGGCGGAAUUCGUCGUGUAGCGGUAAAAUGCUUAUAUAUGACGAAAAACUCCGAUUGCAAAAGGGGCUGACGGGAGUGCUACUGACGCUUAAGCUCGAAGUGCGGGUAUCAAACAAGGAUAUAUACCUCUGGUAGUCCAAGGGGGGAAUUCCCCAGUUGAUAUGAGGUUUUUCACUCCGUCGACCUCCGAGGGGGGGGGCGGGUCCCGAGCUUUUGUUUCCUUUUCAGAGAGAUAAUAUCAGAACAUGACGAAU
Molecule: ribosomal RNA, 896 nt
Filed under: uncultured Prevotella sp.
Lineage: Bacteria; Pseudomonadati; Bacteroidota; Bacteroidia; Bacteroidales; Prevotellaceae
Description: bacterial SSU rRNA
Rfam family: Bacterial small subunit ribosomal RNA
Source: RNAcentral